This 393-nucleotide ribosomal RNA is filed under the name uncultured bacterium. RNAcentral describes it as "partial 16S ribosomal RNA". It matches the Rfam family "Bacterial small subunit ribosomal RNA", at positions 523 to 918 of the family's 1533-position model. The record is from RNAcentral.
AUACGGAGGAUCCGAGCGUUAUCCGGAUUUAUUGGGUUUAAAGGGAGCGUAGGCGGGAGAUCAAGUCAGCUGUGAAAUGUAGGCGCUCAACGUGUGCACUGCAGUUGAAACUGGUUUUCUUGAGUGCGUAAGGGGCAGGCGGAAAUUGGCGGGUAGCGGUGAAAUGCUUAGAUAUGACGAAAAACUCCGAUGGGGAAGGCAGCUUGCCGGGCCGCAACUGACGCUGAAGCUCGAAGGUGCGGGUAUCGAACAGGAUUAGAUACCCUGGUAGUCCGCACAGUAAACGAUGGAUACUCGCUGUCGGCGAUAUACGGUCGGUGGCCAAGCGAAAGCGUUAAGUAUCCCACCUGGGGAGUACGCCGGCAACGGUGAAACUCAAAUGAAUUGGCGGGG